This 207-nucleotide long non-coding RNA is filed under the name Physcomitrium patens. RNAcentral's name for it is "long non-coding RNA (PPAT_LNC011972)". Lineage: Eukaryota; Viridiplantae; Streptophyta; Bryopsida; Funariales; Funariaceae. The record is from RNAcentral.
CUUCAUUCAAACUUUAGGCCAAAAUUAAUUAAAACUUAAAUCCUAAACAAAUCCUAAUAAAAUCCUAAAUCCUAAAUCAAAUCCUAAAUUUUAAAUCAAAUCCUAAACCCUAAAUAAAAUCCUAACAAAAUUUUAAAUCCUAAACCAAAUCCUAACCAAACCCUAAACCAAAUCCCAACCAAAUUCUAACCCUAAAUCAAAUCCUAA